AAGUCGUAACAAGGUUUCCGUAGGUGAACCUGCGGAAGGAUCAUUAUUGAAUUUUCAUUCAAUUACGUAUGUGAACCAGCCGAACCACAAGCUGUGUGCAGUCCUUCGGCUUUAAUGCCCUAGUCUGUAACUGAGUGGGUAGGCCCAACCACUGACGGCUCAAAACCACUGACGGACUUUCAGCCGUCAGUUUUUUACUAACCCUGUAAUCAUUGACUGUGACUGAAACAUCUUUAAUCAUUAAAGACAACUUUUAGCAAUGGAUCUCUAGGCUCUC
This 277-nucleotide unclassified non-coding RNA is filed under the name fungal sp. Its description in RNAcentral is "partial internal transcribed spacer region". The stretch from base 1 to 46 matches the Rfam family "Eukaryotic small subunit ribosomal RNA", at positions 1786 to 1831 of the family's 1831-position model. The record is from RNAcentral. Lineage: Eukaryota; Fungi.